UUCAAAACCCACUGUGAACCUUACCUCUUGCCGCGUUGUCUCGGCGGGAGGCGGUGGGCGUCGCGCGCCCCUAGCGGGCCGUGCCGCUCCCGUCCCCGCCGGCGGCGCCAAACUCUAAAUUUACAGCGGACUGUACGUUCUGAUUUACAAAAAAAAACAAGUUAAAACUUUCAACAACGGAUCUCUUGGUUCUGGCAUCGAUGAAGAACGCA
RNAcentral lists this unclassified non-coding RNA (212 nucleotides) under Trichurus terrophilus. Its description in RNAcentral is "sequence contains ITS1, 5.8S rRNA gene". The stretch from base 166 to 212 matches the Rfam family "5.8S ribosomal RNA", at positions 1 to 47 of the family's 154-position model. Lineage: Eukaryota; Fungi; Ascomycota; Sordariomycetes; Microascales; Microascaceae. The record is from RNAcentral.